UCCCUGAUAGCUAAGUUGGUAAAGAAUCCACCUGCAAUGCAGAAGACCCUGGUUUAAUUCCUGGGCUGGGAA
Molecule: transfer RNA, 72 nt
Filed under: Ovis aries (sheep)
Lineage: Eukaryota; Metazoa; Chordata; Mammalia; Artiodactyla; Bovidae
Rfam family: tRNA
About the family: Transfer RNA (tRNA) molecules are approximately 80 nucleotides in length. Their secondary structure includes four short double-helical elements and three loops (D, anti-codon, and T loops).
Source: Rfam by way of RNAcentral